This 2375-nucleotide long non-coding RNA is filed under the name Hordeum vulgare. RNAcentral's name for it is "long non-coding RNA (HVUL_LNC015483)". Lineage: Eukaryota; Viridiplantae; Streptophyta; Magnoliopsida; Poales; Poaceae. The record is from RNAcentral.
CCAGAGAUCAAUUCUCACCAAACACACAGAAACUGAAUAACAAGAGUCUUACAUCCGUACAUACCGCCUGAUACAAUAAAUGGCCCUUGCUCUGUGGGGACCCCGACUUACGAGUCGAGAUCGCCGAAUGAACAUGCUUAGUGAUCCCAGAGAUCAAUUCUCAUCGAACACACAAAAACUGAAUAACAAGAAUCUUACAUCCAUACAUACCAGUUGAUACAAUAAAUGGCCCGGGCAGUCAAGUCUUACAUAUAUAGGGCCUUGAGGACCAACACACCCAACUUGAUCAAUGGAGGAAAUAUUGGUCGAAAGCGUGAACCCGUGCCAGCAUCCUUAACCUACAGGCAUUCUUACUGGGAAGUGUCCUAGCUCGCAGGGACGUCACCAAGUUACUCUUCACCAUAUCAUGCUCUCUCAUACCUGGUCAAUGAAAUAACCAGUGGCAAGCCAAUGAGUACUUUGAAUGUACUCAUAAACAGCCCAUGAUAUGGAUAAUGAAGUUGGUAUGGGAACAAGUAAUAUACAGUAUUGGUGGAUAGCAUCUUAACUGUAAUAAACAUGAUCAUAGAUGGAUGUACAUCAUAAGCUAGAUGCAUUUAGAAGAACAAGUCAUAGAUAUCAACAUAUCUAUUAAAUGUUGAACACUUCGGGUUCACCCGGUAUGCCAAAUCACCAAACUUGGUCAUAUCAACUCUUGAACACACACAUAAUCACACUUGCUUUACGUGGAAACGACUAGACGUAGUUUAAGCAGGAUUACCAGACUGUCCUUGACCGUGGACACUGCUAUUCGAAUAGUUUUACACUCUGCAUAGGUCGUACGCUGCACCCACAAGAUUCGGGAAACUUCCAUGUCAUCCACGACUCGUAGUAUAUAACAUACCCGAGAUAAGUACCCGAUCAAUGCCUUUCCCCUGACGAUACUAGACAUAGAGAUCCACUCGAUUGGUACACAUCCCACCUGAUGUACGUCUUCCGAGCACCAACUAUAGACAGUGUCAUCCAUGCGGGGACCAACGCUGUGCCCGGAACACGUAAAAACGACAUAGUCGCCCUACCUAGCAUGACCCCGUCACGAGAGUGACCACACAUCCCUCCCGCCACUAGUAAUGUGGAUCUUUGCUAGCAUCGACCAGAGUAAUCAACAAAACCUCGUCCCAUAAAGGGGUAACGGGGUCGCACAUGUAAGGUUGGGAUGAUCGACACAUCAUAAAUCUAUUCACAUUUCCGAAACCACUAACACCAAAAUACCCGGUGCACCACUUCUUCAAAAGUGUCCACCUAUCUCAUCAUCACCCUCGGGCAUUAGUGGCACCCGACGGGGUUUUCAUAAACCUUUGAUAUAUGCCAUCAUCAUGCUCAUGCUUCUACUAUGCUUCGCUCUACUUGUCAACAUGAUAUUAGCGUGACCCUCAUAGGUGGUAGGAUCAUGCUCAAAAUGCAAGUGCUCCAGAGGAGCCAUCGGAAACAUCGUAUCGAUGAUUUACCGAAUACUCACGAUCAUACGCAACGGGAAUAAUUGCUCUAUUAGCAUGCAAUAUAAUAUUUUCUCAAACAUGGUCAAAGGGCUGCUUGCCUUUGUUCUCGUAAGUCCUCGGGGUCUUCGAGGUCUUCCGGCCAACUCCGAGUAUUGUAUCUACCUGUCAACUAUCGUAGGAAACAAUCUCAGUAAGCCAUACAGCAAGCAGAGACCAAAGUGCUAAAUAAAUAGGAGUUUUAUUUUUCUUGGACCUCUCUGGUCAUAAGAAAAAUACCUAAAGCUUGCCAUAGGAGGUUUGGAUCGUUAGGAAAUUUUGACUGGAUGAAAGGAGGAAUAUGUGAUCCUUUAAUAAUCCUAUAUAAAAUAUUUUGGUAAAAAUAAGUGGAGGCACUCAUUAAACAGAGCAUGAUUUUAGAAAUAUUUAGGAAGUUGUUUCACUGGAUUUGUAGUUGAUAUGAAUAUACUAGGGAUUUUCUAAUAUUGGAUAAAUAGCAAAAUGGAGCUAUUUAUUUAUUGCAAGAGAAAUAUGCGAGCUAAAAAAUGUUGACCAUGGUUUCAAAAAUAGGGCAAGUUAUAGGAAGGAUCUAGAAAUUGGAAUGACUCCAAUUGGAGUUUAUUUGAAUGCUAUAGGAACUUACAAAGUGGGGCUUAAAGCAUACAAAUGGGCAUUUGAAUAUUAAUCCCACAUAAAUUCUUCUGGAAAAAUGUGCAAUGCACAUAAAUGGAUAGGUCUUGAUUUCAGGGACCUGCAGAAAUUUGAAUCAUCAAUUUUGGAGCUCAAAUGAUUAUUCUAUAGAUUUUUGAAAUUUCAAACAAAAACAAAAAGAAAAGAUGGGCUACCGGAGAGUCUAAAGCACGCUCAGGGCGUGAGGACGGAGCUGGGCCCCCUGGCAGC